Molecule: ribosomal RNA, 626 nt
Filed under: Monilinia fructigena
Lineage: Eukaryota; Fungi; Ascomycota; Leotiomycetes; Helotiales; Sclerotiniaceae
Description: eukaryotic LSU rRNA
Rfam family: Eukaryotic large subunit ribosomal RNA
Source: RNAcentral
UGGUUGACCUCGGAUCAGGUAGGGAUACCCGCUGAACUUAAGCAUAUCAAUAAGCGGAGGAAAAGAAACCAACAGGGAUUACCUCAGUAACGGCGAGUGAAGCGGUAAAAGCUCAAAUUUGAAAUCUGGCUCUUUCAGAGUCCGAGUUGUAAUUUGUAGAAGAUGCUUCGGGUGUGGUUCCGGUCUAAGUUCCUUGGAACAGGACGUCAUAGAGGGUGAGAAUCCCGUAUGUGACUGGAUACCUAUGCUCAUGUGAAGCUCUUUCGACGAGUCGAGUUGUUUGGGAAUGCAGCUCAAAAUGGGUGGUAUAUUUCAUCUAAAGCUAAAUAUUGGCCAGAGACCGAUAGCGCACAAGUAGAGUGAUCGAAAGAUGAAAAGCACUUUGGAAAGAGAGUUAAACAGUACGUGAAAUUGUUGAAAGGGAAGCGCUUGCAAUCAGACUUGCACUUGGUGUUCAUCGGGGUUUCUACCCCGUGUACUUCAUCAAGUUCAGGCCAGCAUCAGUUUGGGUGGUUAGAUAAAGGCUUAGAGAAUGUGGCCCUCUUCGGGGGGUGUUAUAGCUCUAGGUGCAAUGUAGCCUACCUGGACUGAGGACCGCGCUUCGGCUAGGAUGCUGGCGUAAUGAU